Molecule: ribosomal RNA, 439 nt
Filed under: uncultured bacterium
Lineage: Bacteria
Description: partial 16S ribosomal RNA
Rfam family: Bacterial small subunit ribosomal RNA
Source: RNAcentral
CUAUGGGCCGCUGCAGUGAGGAAUAUUGCACAAUGGGGGGAACCCUGAUGCAGCAACGCCGCGUGGAGGAUGACGCAUUUCGGUGUGUAAACUCCUUUUAUAUGUCAAGAAAAUGACGGUAGCAUAUGAAUAAGCACCGGCUAACUCCGUGCCAGCAGCCACGGUAAUACGGAGGGUGCAAGCGUUACUCGGAAUCACUGGGCGUAAAGGACGCGUAGGCGGGUUGGAAAGUCAGGUGUGAAAUCCUACAGCUUAACUGUAGAACUGCACUUGAAACUUCUAAUCUAGAGUAUGGGAGGGGGAGAUGGAAUUAGUGGUGUAGGGGUAAAAUCCGUAGAUAUCACUAGGAAUACCUAAAGCGAAGGCGAUCUCCUGGAACAUUACUGACGCUAAGGCGUGAAAGCGUGGGGAGCAAACAGGAUUAGAUACCCCGGUAGUC